This is a long non-coding RNA of Helianthus annuus (common sunflower), 757 nucleotides long. RefSeq lists it as uncharacterized. The transcript has 4 exons. The record is from RefSeq and is a predicted model, not a curated record. Lineage: Eukaryota; Viridiplantae; Streptophyta; Magnoliopsida; Asterales; Asteraceae.
GCCUCUGUUGGUAAACCCUAGUUCGCCACUGCCGCAUCUUCUGCCUCCAGUUGACUCCACUGUCGCUUCAGACGCAUCUAGGGCGCCGCAUCUUCUGCCUCCAGUUGACGAAAGUAGCGUACGGACUCAAUGGGAACUGAGCAAUGCGUGUUAAAUCUUAAUAGCAUGGUGAAUGUUCAUAGGAAUCUCUCACCAUGCCGAAGAUGAAAUCUGCGAAAGUGAUGCAGGUUGAUAAGUUCACAACAGCAGAUUUUCCUGCUGUCCGUGUAACUACUAAUCUUCAUGAAUCUUCUCUACAGUUUCUUCAAUCACUAUGCAAACAGAUAUUAUUUCGUUAGUGCCUUGUUGAGAAUAAGGAGCUAUGUGGAGGACGUGCUGUUUUUUCGAUUGGUUCAAAACACCUUAAAGCUGCCACUACAUGAUGAUCCAAAACUUGCAAUUGUGGUAUGGCCAACUGUUUGGAGACCAUUCAUCUAAAGAUGCACGUUCACAAGUCUCAACGUGAAACAGAUGUUUGGCUCGACAGAACUAAUAACAACAGUAUGAAACUACAGGUGGUUGUGGACCCAACAAUGCGGUUUGUUGACGUGGUUUCAAAUAUUUAGUUUGGCACAGAAAGGAGAGAAGCUAUAUGGGAAUGGAUUCAAACUUUCUGAACCUUGUGAUGAUUGAUUAAGAUUUGAAGAUUAGUUUUAAGGACCAUUUAGAUAGUUGGUUGUGAUGAUUGAUUAAGAUUUGACGUUUUCCAGAAAUAUAC